AAGUCGUAACAAGGUAACCGUAGGUGAACCUGCGGUUGGAUCAUUACCGAUUGCUUUCACUCUCGCUCCUGUAACAAGGGGCUUGAGAGUGACUGUACCCACCUAUUGUGAACUGUCCUGUCUCUGGCGGCGGGGUUGGAUGCAAUGUAAUGUUGCGUUCUGAUCUGUCAGCUUGGCUAGUCGUAACUGUCUAGUUUGCAAGCCGUGGACAAACCGCCAAUGGCUUCGGCCAACAGUCCAAACUUAUGUAUAUCCAAAUUUCCAGUCUGAAGUGAAUCAUGUAUAGAAAUAUACAAACAACUUUUGGCAACGGAUCUCUUGGCUCUC
RNAcentral lists this unclassified non-coding RNA (327 nucleotides) under Spizellomyces sp. RNAcentral's name for it is "partial internal transcribed spacer region". The stretch from base 1 to 46 matches the Rfam family "Eukaryotic small subunit ribosomal RNA", at positions 1786 to 1831 of the family's 1831-position model. The record is from RNAcentral. Lineage: Eukaryota; Fungi; Chytridiomycota; Chytridiomycetes; Spizellomycetales; Spizellomycetaceae.